RNAcentral lists this unclassified non-coding RNA (401 nucleotides) under Hevea brasiliensis (rubber tree). Lineage: Eukaryota; Viridiplantae; Streptophyta; Magnoliopsida; Malpighiales; Euphorbiaceae. The record is from RNAcentral.
GUAAGUCUGUUAAGUACAUGUUUACUUCAAGUUUUGUGUUUUUGGGCUAUUGUCUAAAACUAGAAAAAUUACACAAUAUAAGAAGAAAAUAACUUGUAAACAGACAACCUAAACACAGUUGACUAUUUCCACAGUCCAUAUCUUUAAAGACUGUACCAGUGGUACUUACAUGCUGUUGUACUAAAGAUUCAGUUCUACUGCCAGAGAUGAGAUUACAAACUCACAAAUGAAUAAUAUGUAGAAAUGUGGAUUUAACAGAAAUAUAAUCCACAUUAAUCUUUGUUAUGAGAAACUAACUUUUUAUUUGUCAUGAUUUUCUUAUUUUCUUCAGGAUUCACCAAGUAAUGAGUGGUAUGUCACACUGACCUAUGGACCAAGAUGGGUAACAUAUAUUGUUGGCA